This is an unclassified non-coding RNA of Dipodomys ordii (Ord's kangaroo rat), 198 nucleotides long. Lineage: Eukaryota; Metazoa; Chordata; Mammalia; Rodentia; Heteromyidae. The record is from Ensembl.
GGCAGCGGGACCGUUUUGCUUGGAUCUCUUGGGCAGCCACGUGGCCAUACGUUGAGCCCACCGAGAUGCCUAGAGCCAGCCAGGAGUGACUUACAGCUGAAAACAGACUUUGAAUGGCUUCUGCUCUGAAGAGGCCCCUCAGUACAAACAGUGAGAGUUUCUGGGAAACAUACAUAAGGCUCAGACUGUCGGGAAAGG